RNAcentral lists this ribosomal RNA (396 nucleotides) under uncultured bacterium. RNAcentral's name for it is "partial 16S ribosomal RNA". It matches the Rfam family "Bacterial small subunit ribosomal RNA", at positions 523 to 918 of the family's 1533-position model. The record is from RNAcentral.
AUACGUAGGUGGCAAGCGUUGUCCGGAAUUAUUGGGCGUAAAGCGCAUGUAGGCGGUGCCUUAAGUCUGUCGUGAAACUGCGGGGCCUAACCCCGUAUGGCGAUGGAAACUGAGGCACUUGAGUGCAGGAGAGGAAAGGGGAACUCCCAGUGUAGCGGUGAAAUGCGUAGAUAUUGGGAAGAACACCGGUGGCGAAGGCGCCUUUCUGGACUGUGUCUGACGCUGAGAUGCGAAAGCCAGGGUAGCGAACGGGAUUAGAUACCCCGGUAGUCCUGGCCGUAAACUAUGGGUACUAGGUGUGGGAGGUAUCGACCCCUUCCGUGCCGGAGUUAACGCAAUAAGUACCCCGCCUGGGGAGUACGGCCGCAAGGCUUAAACUUAAAGGAAUUGACGGGG